GAAGAAACCAGCCAUGGCAACGGGUUAGAAGCCACUGAAGUCCCUAUCUUCUUCCGUUGCCGAGUGUAGAAGCUUGGGCUUUGGAAAUUAGACUGAGAUCAGUUCACUCCUAAGGUUUGGAAUUGGGGAAGAGUAGAGAAUUGGAGCUGGAGGUCGAUCGAGGGCUCUUGCCAGUUAAAAGGUGGGAUUGUGCAGUACAUAAAUCGAAGAAGAAGGAUUUUGGGGUGAAGGCUACUUGACUGGGUAUUGAUCAAAUUGAGUCAAUGGAACUGAGCAGGAGCUAGCUGAGGACAAGACUUAGACACUUGGGUGUUGGCAUCGUCAAGUUGUGAAUAGCUUCUUUUGGACUUGACUGUUGGUUUGGCAGGUGUUGAUCAGUCUCCCUCCUUUUGAAAUUGUGAAUGUGACUUUGUCUUUUUGUGGGAACCUUUGUAAAUUUGUUAGUAUCCGCCUGCCUAUCUUUUGGUGUGUGUUACUUAGCGUGAAUCUGAAACCCGAAUCUUGGACUCAUGGCUUUUGUGGAAUG
This 526-nucleotide long non-coding RNA is filed under the name Rosa chinensis. RNAcentral describes it as "sRNA RchiOBHm_Chr2g0129211". The record is from RNAcentral. Lineage: Eukaryota; Viridiplantae; Streptophyta; Magnoliopsida; Rosales; Rosaceae.